RNAcentral lists this long non-coding RNA (3456 nucleotides) under Bos grunniens (domestic yak). RNAcentral describes it as "lncRNA (ENSBGRG00000025482.1)". The record is from RNAcentral. Lineage: Eukaryota; Metazoa; Chordata; Mammalia; Artiodactyla; Bovidae.
AUGUACUCUUCCCGCAAGACAGACACUGUACCUUUGCUUACCAAGCUGGUAGCUUGCCUGUCAUGUAAGCUGAUUUUGUUUGUUUUCAGGGAAGAGACCAAUUUUAAAUUCAUGAUGCUAAAUAAGAUUUUUACCAGAUUGAUCAUCCCCCUCCCCUGCUUCUUUUUAAGGCAAAAAAAAAAAAAAAAGCAGCUCUUCAGUGGAGAGGUCACUUCUUUUGAGCACAUCUUCACGGCACAGCCAUGCAGUCAGCUCCAUUCAGCCACACGGACUGAGAGGACAGAAAAGGGGUCUGACACCUAAUUCCUUGAAAGUUUAACCUCUGUGGAUAAACAGCGCUGACCACUUUGAAAGACCCUCCUCACAAAGCAGUGUGUGUGUGCUGAGUGGGAAGACUUCCUGGGUUUGGGGUGGGGGGCCUCUCUCAUGAACUGGACCAUCAAUAAUUGUAAAAUGGCAGAAAAGGAUGUCUAGUAAAAGACAGGAAGCCUUCACCAAGAAGGCCCAGCAGUCAUGGAGGUUACAUCUCCUACAGUGUUGCAGGGAACUACAGACAACCAAACAAAUAAUAAAAAUACAGUGAAAACAUUGAUAAAGUCAUAAUCACAGCCUCUGACUUAGAAAUCAACAAGUUAAGUAGGAAAUGGUAAGAACAGAGAGGGACUGGGUAGCAUAAUCAACAAGUUUGACAUAUAUAUUUAUGUACAGGGAGAAGUUUUCCUUUUCAAAUGCAAGUGAAUUAUCUAAUUUUGAAUUUUUGCCAUAAAGGAAGCUUUUAUAAAUGCCAAAAAAGACAGACUUAUAGGCACCAUUUACUGUACACAGAAGUAAAUAACCAAAAGGUAGGCUGCAAAAAAAAAAAAAAAAAAAGUCAUAACUUUAAAUAACCUUGGUUAAUUGGAAAAUAAACAUAUACAUUACAGAUUGUCGACAAAAGAAACCCAGCUGUUUCGGUCCGUGCCUCUGGGAGGAUGGACAGGAAGGCAUGUCAGGGACUUUGAGGGCAGCAGAGUUUGCGGUAGUGACAAAUUAGAAAUGGCUAGGUGGGAGAAUAAAUAAAUCGUGGGCAUACACACCAUGUAAUCCGGUGCAGCAGUUUAAAAGAGUAAGACCCAUGUUCCGAGAUUAAAUCAUCACCAAAUUCCAUUGUUUAAGAAAAUAACACAUCACGUAAGAUUUAUGCACAAGAGUACAAAUCUAUAUAUUCUGUAAGUCCAAGCAUGUGUAUAAAUUCUUGGAAUAAACUCGGAAAAUACAGUCAACACGCUGGGGGCUGCCCUGGGACUGGGGGUCAAGAGGGCAGCCACGGGAAUCACUGGUAUCAUCCUGACUAUUUGAAUUUCAUAAUUAUAUUAGAGCAUACAAUUGUAAUAAAGUAAAUAUAAUCUUGUGUAAUUUAAAAUAAAAUUAAAGCUACCUAUAGGGUUACUGGAAGUUUUCCCUCUGUGCAUUCAUUUACCUUUCUGCUUUUGUCAAAUAGGCACAGCCAUGCAGUCAGCUCCAUUCAGCCACACGGACUGAGAGGACAGAAAAGGGGUCUGACACCUAAUUCCUUGAAAGUUUAACCUCUGUGGAUAAACAGCGCUGACCACUUUGAAAGACCCUCCCUCACAAAGCAGUGUGUGUGUGCUGAGUGGGAAGACUUCCCUGGGUUUGGGGUGGGGGGGGGGCCUCUCUCAUGAACUGGACCAUCCACCCUGGCCUUGGGAUUAGCAGCUUGCCUUUGGUUGUAAUUUGAUUACAUGUGAUUUGACUUGAAGUACUCAAAUAUAAUAUUUUCUUGGACCAGAAAAAAAAAAUAUUCAAAGCAUCUCAAGUCCAAGGACCCCGGUUUAAAUUAGGUGGGCAGAACCAGGGCCUGGGGGUUAAAUCUGACCCAUUGCCUGGUUUUCUUAUGACCCGCAAAGUAAUUUCUUUUUUAACAUUUAAAAUGCUAUAUAAACAUGGACCUGAUAUCCCCAAUUGUGCUCCUUGCCCAUGAAGCCUAAAGAAAAACUGGCCAACCCCUGAUGAAAGUGUUGCCUCCUAAGUCAGAUCCUACUGAAGUUGGUCAGUUCAUCUGGGUGUCACAUCAUAAAAAGAGAGAAAGAAGACCUUCCCUAGGAACUUGGAUCUUUAUUCUCUCAUAAUUUCACUUGUAGUUGGUCUAGGCCAAUUGAAUGGAAAGUGAACAAACUCCUGGAGAUAGCGCAGAGGACAGAGGAAGCCUGGCGUGCUGCAAUCCAUGGGGUCGCAGAGAGUUGGACAUGAUUUAGCGACUGAAAAACGAAGCCCGAUUGGCUCCCUCCUUCAGUCUACAGAAGCGCUCAGGUAUCUGCUGGUCCUCAGCACCUGCUCCUUUAAUCCCUUUUUGGUUGGUGUUCACUUUUGUCAGUGAAUGUAAAUGAUUUUCUUAAAGUUAUCUUUUUACCCAUAAUUGGUGACAUUAUAGCAUUGGAUACCCCUCUUCUCAGCUUCCUUUGCUUUUUGACAAACAUCUACUUUUGAUCGUCUCUUGGUGUUUUUUUCCCUUACAUGGACAUUCUUUCAUUUAUCAAGAUUCUACCAUGACUCAUCUUCUAUCCUUUGUAUCAGCAUCCUCACUGUGCUUUAGAGUAACUUCUGGAGUCUUGAAGUGCAGACCAUAGAAUAUCAGUCCCAGAAUUCCCAAGUCAUUAGACAUGAUGUUUCUUUUCAGAUCUGUCCCAGUAGGAUGUCCAGCAGGCUCUUGGAAAUUUAUAUGUAAAGUGCAGGAGGGGACUUUCCUGGUGGUCGAGUGAUUAGGACUGUGAGCUUCCAUUGGAAAGGGCAUAGAUUUGAUCCCUGUUUGGGAAACUAAGAUCCCACAAGUGAUUCGGCACAGCUUUAAAAAGACAACCAAACAUAAAAUAUGGUGGGAGGUUGAGGUCCGAGAGACAACGUAACAGUUCCUACUGGUGUAAAGACAGCCUUCUCCUGGGCCUUCUGUCCUCUACCACCUGCAGUCCUUGUGGAAAGACGGACUUCCUGACCUACCAGUCAGAUCCCUGGACCUGGGGUCUAGAGUCUGCCUUUGUCAGGGCCCUCCCUGAGCAUUUUCAUCACACACUCAAACUUGAGUAAUGUUUGAGUAAUGAUUCCAGCCACAAAGUCCGAGUUCCUUUUCAACUUGUACAGCACCCCAAUAUAACAGAACUGACUAAGCAAACCCAGAAGUCUCCAAACACUCACCUGAUCAGAGGGAUAGAGCAGAAGGAACGAGAGGGGCACCUCCUCCUACCGAAUCCAGAGGUGACUUGCUCAUUGAGAGUGGCCAUCAUUCUCCCAGGGCGCCAACUAGAAGCUGUGCAUUUAGUUCCGUGGAGCCAAAAGCAACUGAGGACAGUGUGUUCAUUGCAGUUCUCCUGCCCCAAAACAGGAGGCUUGGUGAGGCUUGCCUUAAUGAGAGUUUACCUUUGUUAGCAACAGAGUUAAUGAUUAGAUAAAUCACCUUAGAUU